Molecule: ribosomal RNA, 360 nt
Filed under: Sinorhizobium sp. IC3169
Lineage: Bacteria; Pseudomonadati; Pseudomonadota; Alphaproteobacteria; Hyphomicrobiales; Rhizobiaceae
Description: bacterial SSU rRNA
Rfam family: Bacterial small subunit ribosomal RNA
Source: RNAcentral
CUUAACACAUGCAAGUCGAGCGCGUAGCAAUACGAGCGGCAGACGGGUGAGUAACGCGUGGGAAUCUACCCUUUUCUACGGAAUAACGCAGGGAAACUUGUGCUAAUACCGUAUACGCCCUUUGGGGGAAAGAUUUAUCGGAGAAGGAUGAGCCCGCGUUGGAUUAGCUAGUUGGUGGGGUAAAGGCCUACCAAGGCGACGAUCCAUAGCUGGUCUGAGAGGAUGAUCAGCCACAUUGGGACUGAGACACGGCCCAAACUCCUACGGGAGGCAGCAGUGGGGAAUAUUGGACAAUGGGCGCAAGCCUGAUCCAGCCAUGCCGCGUGAGUGAUGAAGGCCCUAGGGUUGUAAAGCUCUUUC